UCUUUUAAUUGAAGGCUCGUAUGAAUGGUUGAAUGAGAAAUUAACUGUUUCAAUAAAAAUUUUAUUUGAAAUUAAUAUUUUAGUAAAAAAGCUAAAAUUAAAUUUAAAGACGAGAAGACCCUAUAGAGUUUAAUAAUUUUAAUAUUAAAUUUAUAAAGAUUAAUUUAAGUAUAAUAUAAAAAAUUAUUUUAUUGGGGUGAUAGUAAUAUUUAAAUAACUAUUAUAUUUUAAAAUCAAUGAUUUUUGUAUAUUUGAUCCAUUAAUAUUGAUUAAUAAUUUAAAUUACCUUAGGGAUAACAGCGUAAUAUUUUUAGAGAGUUCUAAUCGAUAAAAAUGAUUGC
This 341-nucleotide ribosomal RNA is filed under the name Scatopse notata. RNAcentral's name for it is "partial 16S ribosomal RNA". The record is from RNAcentral. Lineage: Eukaryota; Metazoa; Arthropoda; Insecta; Diptera; Scatopsidae.